This 429-nucleotide ribosomal RNA is filed under the name Actinomycetes bacterium. RNAcentral describes it as "Actinobacteria bacterium partial 16S ribosomal RNA". It matches the Rfam family "Bacterial small subunit ribosomal RNA", at positions 355 to 776 of the family's 1533-position model. The record is from RNAcentral. Lineage: Bacteria; Bacillati; Actinomycetota; Actinomycetes.
UAGGGAAUCUUCCGCAAUGGGCGAAAGCCUGACGGAGCAACGCCGCGUGAGUGAUGAAGGUCUUCGGAUCGUAAAACUCUGUUAUUAGGGAAGAACAAAUGUGUAAGUAACUAUGCACGUCUUGACGGUACCUAAUCAGAAAGCCACGGCUAACUACGUGCCAGCAGCCGCGGUAAUACGUAGGUGGCAAGCGUUAUCCGGAAUUAUUGGGCGUAAAGCGCGCGUAGGCGGUUUUUUAAGUCUGAUGUGAAAGCCCUCGGCUCAACCGUGGAGGUUCAUUGGAAACUGGAAAACUUGAGUGCAGAAGAGGAAAGUGGAAUUCCAUGUGUAGCGGUGAAAUGCGCAGAGAUAUGGAGGAACACCAGUGGCGAAGGCGACUUUCUGGUCUGUAACUGACGCUGAUGUGCGAAAGCGUGGGGAUCAAACAGG